Molecule: non-coding RNA, 26 nt
Filed under: Homo sapiens (human)
Lineage: Eukaryota; Metazoa; Chordata; Mammalia; Primates; Hominidae
Source: RNAcentral
UGAGCCUGCUAACGAUUCUGUUCCUC